AGAGUUUGAUCUGGCUCAGAACGAACGCUGGCGGCGUGCCUAACACAUGCAAGUCGAGCGCGAAUGGAGCAAUCCUAGUAGAGCGGCGCACGGGUGCGUAACACGUGGAUAAUCUGCCUGGGUGUCUGGGAUAACCAGUCGAAAGAUUGGCUAAUACCGGAUAAGCCCCCGAGAGCUUCGGCUCUUGAGGGAAAAGGUGGCCUCUGUAUACAAGCUAUCACAUCCAGAUGAGUCCGCGGCCCAUCAGCUAGUUGGCGGGGUAAUGGCCCACCAAGGCAACGACGGGUAGCUGGUCUGAGAGGACGAUCAGCCACACUGGAACUGAGACACGGUCCAGACUCCUACGGGAGGCAGCAGUGGGGAAUUUUGCGCAAUGGGCGAAAGCCUGACGCAGCAACGCCGCGUGUGUGAUGAAGGUCUUCGGAUUGUAAAGCACUUUCGACCGGGACGAAAACCCUGAAGCUAACAUCUUCAGGCUUGACGGUACCGGGAGAAGAAGCACCGGCUAACUCUGUGCCAGCAGCCGCGGUAAUACAGAGGGUGCAAGCGUUGUUCGGAAUUAUUGGGCGUAAAGCGCGUGUAGGCGGCUUUGCAAGUCGGGUGUGAAAGCCCUCAGCUCAACUGAGGAAGUGCGCCCGAAACUGCAGAGCUUGAGUGCCGGAGAGGGUGGCGGAAUUCCCCAAGUAGAGGUGAAAUUCGUAGAUAUGGGGAGGAACACCGGUGGCGAAGGCGGCCACCUGGACGGUAACUGACGCUGAGACGCGAAAGCGUGGGGAGAAANNGGAUUAGAUACCCNNGUAGUCC
RNAcentral lists this ribosomal RNA (804 nucleotides) under uncultured bacterium. RNAcentral's name for it is "bacterial SSU rRNA". It matches the Rfam family "Bacterial small subunit ribosomal RNA", at positions 8 to 796 of the family's 1533-position model. The record is from RNAcentral.